GACGAACGCUGGCGGCGUGCUUAACACAUGCAAGUCGAGCGGAGAUUGCAUUUAUGUAAUUUUAGCGGCGGACGGGUGAGUAACGCGUAGGCAACCUGCCUUGCACAGAGGGAUAACACCGGGAAACUGGUGCUAAUACCACAUGAUAUCAUAACAAGGCAUCUUGAAAUGAUCAAAGGAUAAAUCCGGUGCAAGAUGGGCCUGUGUCCGAUUAGUUAGUUGGUGAGGUAACGGCUCACCAAGGCGACGAUCGGUAGCCGAACUGAGAGGUUGAUCGGCCACAUUGGGACUGAGACACGGCCCAGACUCCUACGGGAGGCAGCAGUGGGGAAUAUUGCGCAAUGGGGGGAACCCUGACACAGCAACGCCGCGUGAAGGAAGAAGGCCUUCGGGUUGUAAACUUUUUUGAUUGGGGAAGAAAAAAAUGACGGUACCCAAGGAACAAGCCACGGCUAACUACGUGCCAGCAGCCGCGGUAAUACGUAGGUGGCGAGCGUUGUCCGGAAUUACUGGGUGUAAAGGGCGUGUAGGCGGGAUUGUAAGUCAGAUGUGAAAUUCCAGGCUUAACUCUGGAGGUGCAUCUGAAACUAUAAUUCUUGAGUGCUGGAGAGGAAAGCGGAAUUUCCUAGUGUAGCGGUGAAAUGCGUAGAUAUUAGGAAGAACACCAGUGGCGAAGCGGCUUUCUGGACAGUAACUGACGCUGAGCGCGAAAGCGUGGGGAGCAA
This 725-nucleotide ribosomal RNA is filed under the name uncultured organism. RNAcentral describes it as "bacterial SSU rRNA". It matches the Rfam family "Bacterial small subunit ribosomal RNA", at positions 28 to 771 of the family's 1533-position model. The record is from RNAcentral.